GUCACAGCUGGAGAUGCAAGGCAAGGCCUACGUGCAACUUGACAGCGCACGCUACACAGAGCUGAUUGACAAUUGUUUGACAAAACGCUUUCAAGACUUUUCUUUGCUGGAGCCAGUCGCUCCAUUCAUGUGCUAUCCUUUUCGGGAAGAUGCUGAGGUUGAUUCACUCGCAUCGAAAGUUGCAACGCUGUUUCACCGGAACUCUUCUGGAGUGGAAGAUGAGAUUUUGACACUACAAGCCGACAUCGAGCUGAAGUCCAGAGCUCAUGGACAGUUUUGGAACUUACUCACAGAGCUAAAGUACCCCAACAUGAGGAAACGUGCUACCUCCACUUAUUUAUGUGAGUCAGCCUUUUUCCCACAUGAAGAUCAUUAAGUCCAAGUACCGUUCCACCCUAGCAGAUGAACAUUUGGAAGUGUGCUUGAGGCUGGCUGUCAGCAGCUACUGUCCGGACUAUGCAUCCCCGGCUGAUUCACUUCAGUGCAAGUCAUCAGAGUAAACUCAGAGGGAGAUGACCACUUGUGCCUGGGAGGUGCGUCUCUUCACCUCAACAGCAAAAGCAGUCCAACGCGAGGACUUGGCAGCCAGGCUGGGCGGAGAGCAGCCAUUUUCAAACUGUCUCGACACUAUCAUAGAGAAACAACUACAUCCCUCACGGGUCCACUGUCACUGCUAGCAUGUCAAAGCUAAAAGUGCACUGAAGCAGCCUCACCAGACAAAUGUUGUUCAUCUCGGCUCUGAUGUUUCCCGGUCAUCUGUUUGAGUCUUGACUUGGCCACGUUUGCGCGCCCUGCUGAUGAAGA
Phyllopteryx taeniolatus (common seadragon) is the source of this 804-nucleotide long non-coding RNA. RefSeq lists it as uncharacterized. The record is from RefSeq and is a predicted model, not a curated record. NCBI's taxonomy places the organism in Eukaryota, Metazoa, Chordata, Actinopteri, Syngnathiformes, Syngnathidae. The transcript has 4 exons.